RNAcentral lists this ribosomal RNA (467 nucleotides) under uncultured bacterium. Its description in RNAcentral is "partial 16S ribosomal RNA". It matches the Rfam family "Bacterial small subunit ribosomal RNA", at positions 28 to 507 of the family's 1533-position model. The record is from RNAcentral.
GACGAACGCUGGCGGCGUGCUUAACACAUGCAAGUCGAACGGAAAGGCCCUGCUUUUGUGGGGUGCUCGAGUGGCGAACGGGUGAGUAACACGUGAGUAACCUGCCCUUGACUUUGGGAUAACUUCAGGAAACUGGGGCUAAUACCGGAUAGGAGCUCCUGCUGCAUGGUGGGGGUUGGAAAGUUUCGGCGGUUGGGGAUGGACUCGCGGCUUAUCAGCUUGUUGGUGGGGUAGUGGCUUACCAAGGCUUUGACGGGUAGCCGGCCUGAGAGGGUGACCGGCAAAAUUGGAACUGGGAUACGGCCAAGACUCUUAGGGGAGGAAGCAGGGGGAAUAUUGCACAAUGGGCGGAAGCCUGAUGCAGCAACGCCGCGUGCGGGAUGACGGCCUUCGGGUUGUAAACCGCUUUCGCCUGUGACGAAGCGUGAGUGACGGUAAUGGGUAAAGAAGCACCGGCUAACUACGUG